This 107-nucleotide small nuclear RNA is filed under the name Camelus bactrianus (Bactrian camel). The record is from RNAcentral. RNAcentral also lists the same sequence under 1 other name. Lineage: Eukaryota; Metazoa; Chordata; Mammalia; Artiodactyla; Camelidae.
GUGCUUUCUUCAGCAGCACAUAUAUUAAAAUUGGAAUGACACAGAGAAGAUUAGCAUGGCCCCUGCACAAGGAUGACAUACAAAUUCGUGAAGCGUUCUAUAUUUAA